Molecule: ribosomal RNA, 490 nt
Filed under: uncultured bacterium
Lineage: Bacteria
Description: partial 16S ribosomal RNA
Rfam family: Bacterial small subunit ribosomal RNA
Source: RNAcentral
AUUGAACGCUGGCGGCAGGCCUAACACAUGCAAGUCGAACGGUAACAGGAAGAAGCUUGCUUCUUUGCUGACGAGUGGCGGACGGGUGAGUAAUGUCUGGGAAACUGCCUGAUGGAGGGGGAUAACUACUGGAAACGGUAGCUACUACCGCAUAACGUCGCAAGACCAAAGAGGGGGACCUUCUGGCCUCUUGCCAUCGGAUGUGCCCAGAUGGGAUUCGCUAGUAGGUGGGGUAACGGCUCACCUAGGCGACGAUCCCUAGCUGAUCUGAGAGGAUGACCAGCCACACUGGAACUGAGACACGGUCCAGACUCCUACGGGAGGCAGCAGUGGGGAAUAUUGCACAAUGGGCGCAAGCCUGAUGCAGCCAUGCCGCGUGUAUGAAGAAGGCCUUCGGGUUGUAAAGUACUUUCAGCGGGGAGGAAGGGAGUAAAGUUAAUACCUUUGCUCAUUGACGUUACCCGCAGAAGAAGCACCGGCUAACUACGUG